GGGUAAGUGUUGGACACAUUACAAGCGAAAAUAAUCAUGAUUUUGCUGCACGCUCCGAUCAAAUUAAGGCCGGCCUAAUACAAUCCAUGCCAGGUAAUCAACUGAAAUUGCCUUGACCUCCGCCCUGGAAAUUUGAGGAUCUAUAAGCGGAAAAAGUAAAGCUGAAACGGGAAAUGGCUAUCUAGAUUCUUCACUUCGGGUAGUUCCUAGUUGUGCUUGUUAUGCCACCCCUGUCUAUGAUGCCUCGAC
This 249-nucleotide long non-coding RNA is filed under the name Eucalyptus grandis. Its description in RNAcentral is "long non-coding RNA (EGRA_LNC006342)". The record is from RNAcentral. Lineage: Eukaryota; Viridiplantae; Streptophyta; Magnoliopsida; Myrtales; Myrtaceae.